GGAAGGAGUGACCUGCAACAAAUCUAGGGUUACUUCAUUGUAAUAAAUAUUCAAUUCAACAUUAUUGAUCCUUUUGAACUUUGGUAUAUUAAUUUCAUCAUCUUUUUAUUCACUUUUCCAACUACUAAUUUAAGAAAAAUAUUUUGUCAUGUGCAUGAAAAAUAUAGGGGACUAUCAACCAUGGGCCUGAAGGGUAAAUUAAGUGGAGAUAUUGGUGGACUCACAGAAUUAAGAUCCUUG
This 240-nucleotide long non-coding RNA is filed under the name Medicago truncatula (barrel medic). RNAcentral's name for it is "long non-coding RNA (MTRU_LNC006410)". Lineage: Eukaryota; Viridiplantae; Streptophyta; Magnoliopsida; Fabales; Fabaceae. The record is from RNAcentral.